Non-coding RNA from Trichobilharzia regenti, 46 nucleotides. Lineage: Eukaryota; Metazoa; Platyhelminthes; Trematoda; Strigeidida; Schistosomatidae. The record is from Rfam.
GUACUGAUGAAGAGUCCCGAACUAGGACGAAACGGCUGUCCAGUAC